This is a transfer RNA of Gaeumannomyces graminis, 83 nucleotides long. It matches the Rfam family "tRNA". Rfam says of the family: Transfer RNA (tRNA) molecules are approximately 80 nucleotides in length. Their secondary structure includes four short double-helical elements and three loops (D, anti-codon, and T loops). NCBI's taxonomy places the organism in Eukaryota, Fungi, Ascomycota, Sordariomycetes, Magnaporthales, Magnaporthaceae. The record is from Rfam.
GCCCGCUUGGCUUAGUGGUAAAGCGUAUCACUAGUAAUUGCUAGUGUAUGAUAAGAUCGUCAGUUCGAUUCUGACAGUGGGCA